GAUGAACGCUGGCGGCGUGCUUAACACAUGCAAGUCGAACGGAAAGGCCCAAGCUUGCUUGGGUACUCGAGUGGCGAACGGGUGAGUAACACGUGGGUGAUCUGCCCUGCACUUCGGGAUAAGCCUGGGAAACUGGGUCUAAUACCGGAUAGGACGAUGGUUUGGAUGCCAUUGUGGAAAGUUUUUUCGGUGUGGGAUGAGCUCGCGGCCUAUCAGCUUGUUGGUGGGGUAAUGGCCUACCAAGGCGUCGACGGGUAGCCGGCCUGAGAGGGUGUACGGCCACAUUGGGACUGAGAUACGGCCCAGACUCCUACGGGAGGCAGCAGUGGGGAAUAUUGCACAAUGGGUGCAAGCCUGAUGCAGCGACGCCGCGUGGGGGAUGACGGCCUUCGGGUUGUAAACUCCUUUCGCUAGGGACGAAGCGUUUUUGUGACGGUACCUGGAGAAGAAGCACCGGCUAACUACGUG
This 468-nucleotide ribosomal RNA is filed under the name uncultured bacterium. RNAcentral's name for it is "partial 16S ribosomal RNA". It matches the Rfam family "Bacterial small subunit ribosomal RNA", at positions 28 to 507 of the family's 1533-position model. The record is from RNAcentral.